This is a long non-coding RNA of Micropterus dolomieu (smallmouth bass), 2615 nucleotides long. RefSeq lists it as uncharacterized. The transcript has 2 exons. The record is from RefSeq and is a predicted model, not a curated record. NCBI's taxonomy places the organism in Eukaryota, Metazoa, Chordata, Actinopteri, Centrarchiformes, Centrarchidae.
GGUGGAGGGGGAGGAGCUGGUGGAGCUUCUGAAGCUGCACGACUCUGUGUACGAGCAGGCAAACAGCUGGUUCACCUCCCUGAAAGACAACAUGAAGAGCCAGAUCCUGAGCCACUUCGGACACCUUCCCAGCAAAGAUCCCGACCCACAGGGCAGUCCCAGUGGUCCGGCCUGGUCCUGGUGGCUUCUUGCUGUCCUUCCAUUGGAGGGUCGAGCCCAGCUCACCAUCCUGGCCAUGACAUCCCUCAAGGACCGCCUCAUUGCCAUCCGCAGGGUCCUCAUCUUCGUCACGCGCAAAAGGCCGCGGUGAUUGCCCAGCCGCUCGGGGAGACAGACCUGAACCGCUUGGAGUUCUAUGCAGUUCAGCAGUUCAUUCGCUCAUUUGUUCAGUCAUUCAUUUGUUAAUUUGAUCACUCAUCGAAUGAUCCAUUCACUCGUUUAUACGUGUGCAUUUUUCAUUUACUGGCCCAUACCUACAUCAGUUCGUUCUCUCAGAUGCUCAUGAAUUCCUUCCUGUGUAGCGCAGCAUUUCUGAGCACACGUGUCAGUUCUGUGGUGAGCGUCAGGUGGGUCGGGUUGCUGGCAUGAGGACAUUCCUGGUUUCACUUCUGUCUGUUCAUCCAGCCAACCCCCACCUGCGUUCUCUCACUGGACGAAUCAGGCUACAAUAUCUGAGCAAGUGACCUCUCACCUCUUGUUCUCUUUUGAGGCAGAGGUAAAAGCAGUAAGCUGUUUAGGUCACUUCUGGGUCAUUUCCCCGACUCUGUUAUGCAGGAAAGAAAAUUUAUCAGAAAAUCAGUGUGAGUGAAAAGGAUCAGGUUCAAGAGGAAAAACCUUUCCUACAUACACUAAGCAGUAUUUCACAUAAGCUGAAACAGAAGUCACCCACUCGAAAAGUCACCUAGUGCAACAUGAACACACCUGUGAUGACUGCAACACACAAAAGUGAAUGUACUGAUGAGGCUGUAGUAUCUGGAUGUUCAUCCCUUUUCUCCCUGCUACAUUUUUGGAAUCCGUUCGGCAAGUUGCACAUGAGGACAGAUUCCUGUGUGUGUGUGUGUGUGUGUGUGCCCUCGCAGCAGCUGCUUCACUCUAAAUCUUCCUGACUGAGCCAAAAUUAAUGUGCAGAAACCUGAAGCUUUCUGUCCGCUGCCUCACCCAGCGGUGGGCAUAUGUACCUCAGACUGUCUUGAUAGAAAGUCACAGGCACCAUGAGAGUCGUUGCACUGAGAUAGGACUGUGAUUUUGCCCAUGUUAACACUAAAAACCACAGACUAUACAAUGUGUGAGAACAAGUCUACAACAACGUGCUCAACUUGUUUUGAAAGGAGGUUCAAGUAAGAAAGUCGGGCUGUCGCACAAGUUCUAGCUACAUUUAGGAGACAGAUACGAAUGCAUCCUCUCGGAUACAGUUGAAACUUUAAUGUCCUAUUGUAGCAUAUCUGUGGGACUUAGUUAUAGGGGUCAAUUGUGUACUUUUUAUGUUGUUGUUUUUUUGUCUCUCUCUCUCUGCUAUGCCCUUAAGUGUAUGUGUAUGGUGAAAUCUUAAGUUGAGUUAUUUAUAUGUAUAUCAAUGUAACUCUGAGGCCUUUGUAAUGUUUUAUUUAAGGAACGUUUCCCCUCUAUCGCUUUCUCUCUCAGUGCAUUUACAUGCACACUGCAAUGCAGCAAUUAUGGUGCUUAAAGUUGAGUUUUCUUGUAAACAGUUUGUUUAUAGUCAAUGUUUCUCAAUAAAACAUGUGUAUCCUUGAAGCCUCGAAACAGAUGAAUAGGUUUCCUUCCUCAUACAACAUUUUUUAACGUGUUUUUGAAUGUGCGUUGUUUAUUCUAUCUUCCGUGCCUUUACUGGCGCAAUGCUGUGUCUCUUAGCACCCCCAACUUGUUAUCGGUUGGAAAGCUUGAAACUGUCUGCAGGAAUUUGUCUCAAUAGCGCAACUAGUGGUCAAAAAGUGGUUAACGUUGCACAAUAAAACCCCAAAUUUAUACAAUGAGUGAAUGAAAAGUACCAUGUGUUUUGUUUAUUUGUAAGAGCAAGCAGGUGACCAAUACGAUUUCCUGCUGAUGGUUUCAAGCUGGUCCACUGAUCAAAUGGUGGUUGCAGUAACACGUAUAAGACCCCCCCCCCCCCCACACACACACACACACACACACAAAGUUUUAGAUUUAAAAAAAAAAAAUCCAUUGCAAAUAUAUUUUAUGAAGAUUUGAAUUGUUUUGGUGAGAAACACUGACUGUUGACCUGACUGUGUUUGUUUACAAUCUGAUUCAAUGGUGUACCUUUUUAAAAGGAAGGAUGAAUGGUAAAGGAAGUGUUGAAUGCUUAAAUUUAACUAUCUGCAAGUUAUCAAAUGAAAUCAAGUAUUUACAAGCCGCAGUGACUCAAAAUAGUGAAGCACACUAUAAGCCACAUUAUGCUUAACUUUAAGCCGGUCAAGUUGUUUUCAUAAGACAGCUGUGGUUGUGAUCUUGGUGUGCAUGUAAAUGCACUGUUUCUCUGUAUAAUUCUGACUUCCAAAUGUUUGUGACUACUGCAGUCACACUGCAUUUCCCUGGUAUAUUUGUAAAGGGAGAUCUUAAACCUAUUUUUUAUCGCAAAUAAAGAAAAACCCAUUCUG